AAGAAGGAAAUUAGAGAGAAUGAGAAAUCAUCGCCGAAGGGGCAACGCUAUAUUAAACUCUCAGGCAAAAGGAUAAUUUCCGGACA
Molecule: non-coding RNA, 86 nt
Filed under: Macrococcoides caseolyticum
Lineage: Bacteria; Bacillati; Bacillota; Bacilli; Caryophanales; Staphylococcaceae
Also listed under: 1 other name
Description: Macrococcus caseolyticus Glycine sequence
Rfam family: Glycine riboswitch aptamer
About the family: This family represents the bacterial glycine riboswitch. Glycine riboswitches usually consist of two metabolite-binding aptamers domains with similar structures in tandem. The aptamers cooperatively bind glycine to regulate the expression of downstream genes.
Source: RNAcentral